CCUGGUGGCCUUAGCGAGUGUGUAACACCCGAUCCCAUCCCGAACUCGGCCGUGAAAACGCUCAGCGCCAAUGGUACUUCGUCUUAAGACGCGGAAGAGUAGGUCGCUGCCAGGC
RNAcentral lists this ribosomal RNA (115 nucleotides) under Ferrovibrio sp. Lineage: Bacteria; Pseudomonadati; Pseudomonadota; Alphaproteobacteria; Rhodospirillales; Rhodospirillaceae. The record is from RNAcentral.